This is a non-coding RNA of Vigna angularis (adzuki bean), 107 nucleotides long. The record is from Rfam. Lineage: Eukaryota; Viridiplantae; Streptophyta; Magnoliopsida; Fabales; Fabaceae.
AGGGCAUGAUGUAGACACUUCCUAAUUAGCUCCUUGUAUCUUUCCCAUGCCUCAUAUAAAGAUUCAGUGUCUUGCUGCACAAAAGUAGUAAUCUCGUUUCUUAUUUU